Engraulis encrasicolus (European anchovy) is the source of this 923-nucleotide long non-coding RNA. RefSeq lists it as uncharacterized. Lineage: Eukaryota; Metazoa; Chordata; Actinopteri; Clupeiformes; Engraulidae. The transcript has 8 exons. The record is from RefSeq and is a predicted model, not a curated record.
AGGCCCUGAAGGAGGUGGCUGAGAUCGUGACCCAGCUGCAGAGCAGUCUGAUCCGGCUGGAGAACUUCCAAAAACUCACUGAGCUGCAGCGAGACCUCAUCGGCAUCGAGAACCUCACCACACCCGGCAGGAGGCCCUGAAGGAGGUGGCUGAGAUCGUGACCCAGCUGCAGAGCAGUCUGAUCCGGCUGGAGAACUUCCAAAAACUCACUGAGCUGCAGCGAGACCUCAUCGGCAUCGAGAACCUCACCACACCCGGCAGGAGGCCCUGAAGGAGGUGGCUGAGAUCGUGACCCAGCUGCAGAGCAGUCUGAUCCGGCUGGAGAACUUCCAAAAACUCACUGAGCUGCAGCGAGACCUCAUCGGCAUCGAGAACCUCACCACACCCGGCAGGAGGCCCUGAAGGAGGUGGCUGAGAUCGUGACCCAGCUGCAGAGCAGUCUGAUCCGGCUGGAGAACUUCCAAAAACUCACUGAGCUGCAGCGAGACCUCAUCGGCAUCGAGAACCUCACCACACCCGGCAGGAGGCCCUGAAGGAGGUGGCUGAGAUCGUGACCCAGCUGCAGAGCAGUCUGAACCGGCUGGAGAACUUCCAAAAACUCACUGAGCUGCAGCGAGACCUCAUCGGCAUCGAGAACCUCACCACACCCGGCAGGAGGCCCUGAAGGAGGUGGCUGAGAUCGUGACCCAGCUGCAGAGCAGUCUGAUCCGGCUGGAGAACUUCCAAAAACUCACUGAGCUGCAGCGAGACCUCAUCGGCAUCGAGAACCUCACCGCACCCGGCAGGGACUUCAUUCGUGAGGGCUGCCUGUACAAACUCACCAAGAAGGGACUUGAGCAGAGGAUGUUCUUCCUGAUUCCGCAUGUGAUUGGAUACGUCAACUGCUUGGCUGAAACCGGAUCUCUACAAACAUUUGUGAUUUU